UUGAGCAAAGUGAGACAUCACCUGCUUUUUAUUACUCCCAACUAAGUUGGUUUCACACUCUGGAAAUGAUAUAGCUACAAACACCUCCAAACCAACUGCCAGUACUUACAGUAUAGCUAAUGUUCUUUCUUUCUCAUUUGCUCUGUGUCGCAGGAGAUAGAGGGAUAACACUAUCCCCAGCCAGGCAGACGAGUGCACAUUACAAGACGAGUGCAGAGGGAUCUGUCACGCCUUCAGCCAGCAUGCAUAAAUACUGUGGAUUUGUUGAGAACACUCAUGAGUCCAACAAAGAUGAAGAGGUAGAAGAAGACGAUGGAGGAAGAAGAAGGAGAAAUGGGAACUAUAGCUCCAGGAGGUGGGACAGUGGUGGACGGAGCGGGCCAGGUUACAGGAUCCAACCCUGGGGACCUCCAUGGAGGAAGGAGUGUGGCUCAUCAAGAAGAGGAGGAAGCAACGUCAUAAACAGAAGCUCUUGUCUCUGGGUCUGGUGCCGCGUGCUGCGGCUCGAGGGGGGGAGGAAGAGAAGAGCAGCUGAAGUGAUAAUCUUCCUCAGGACCACACAAGAUCUAUGUGUCUGA
Molecule: long non-coding RNA, 578 nt
Filed under: Oncorhynchus kisutch (coho salmon)
Lineage: Eukaryota; Metazoa; Chordata; Actinopteri; Salmoniformes; Salmonidae
Description: lncRNA (ENSOKIG00005041129.1)
Source: RNAcentral